UACGGGGGGGGCAAGCGUUGUUCGGAAUUACUGGGCGUAAAGGGUUUGUAGGUGGCUUGCUAAGUCAGACGUGAAAUCCCUCAGCUUAACUGGGGAACUGCGUCUGAUACUGGCGAGCUUGAGUGCAGGAGAGGAACGCGGAAUUCCAGGUGUAGCGGUGAAAUGCGUAGAUAUCUGGAGGAACACCGGUGGCGAAGGCGGCAUCCUGGAUUGGUAUUGACGCUGAGGAGCGAAAGCUAGGGGAGCAAACGGG
This 253-nucleotide ribosomal RNA is filed under the name uncultured bacterium. RNAcentral's name for it is "partial 16S ribosomal RNA". It matches the Rfam family "Bacterial small subunit ribosomal RNA", at positions 524 to 776 of the family's 1533-position model. The record is from RNAcentral.